UCNGUAGGUGAAAUAGCUCAGUAUUUGCGA
This 30-nucleotide non-coding RNA is filed under the name Mus musculus (house mouse). Lineage: Eukaryota; Metazoa; Chordata; Mammalia; Rodentia; Muridae. The record is from RNAcentral.